UCGUCAGACGCGCGACCUUUCGGGGUGAGCGGCGGACGGGUUAGUAACGCGUGGGAAUAUACCCUUUGGUACGGAAUAGCCUCUGGAAACGGAGAGUAAUACCGUAUGAGCCCUUCGGGGGAAAGAUUUAUCGCCAAAGGAUUAGCCCGCGUUAGAUUAGGUAGUUGGUGGGGUAAUGGCCUACCAAGCCUACGAUCUAUAGCUGGUUUUAGAGGAUGAUCAGCAACACUGGGACUGAGACACGGCCCAGACUCCUACGGGAGGCAGCAGUGGGGAAUCUUGGACAAUGGGCGCAAGCCUGAUCCAGCCAUGCCGCGUGAGUGAUGAAGGCCUUAGGGUCGUAAAGCUCUUUCGCCUGUGAAGAUAAUGACGGUAGCAGGUAAAGAAACCCCGGCUAACUCCGUGCCAGCAGCCGCGGUAAUACGGAGGGGGUUAGCGUUGUUCGGAAUUACUGGGCGUAAAGCGCACGUAGGCGGACUGGAAAGUAUGGGGUGAAAUCCCAGGGCUCAACCCUGGAACUGCCUCAUAAACUAUCAGUCUAGAGUUCGAGAGAGGUGAGUGGAAUUCCGAGUGUAGAGGUGAAAUUCGUAGAUAUUCGGAGGAACACCAGUGGCGAAGGCGGCUCACUGGCUCGAU
RNAcentral lists this ribosomal RNA (636 nucleotides) under Roseobacter sp. MC30. RNAcentral describes it as "bacterial SSU rRNA". It matches the Rfam family "Bacterial small subunit ribosomal RNA", at positions 77 to 738 of the family's 1533-position model. Lineage: Bacteria; Pseudomonadati; Pseudomonadota; Alphaproteobacteria; Rhodobacterales; Roseobacteraceae. The record is from RNAcentral.